AACCUCUCUGCCCUUCCUGACCAGCAAAGCUGAUUAGUCACCUUGCUUUGGCUGUCAGGAAGGAGGAUUUGCCUGAGCUUUUGGCUGAGAUUAUCCCAGCAGGCUGAAGGAGACCUCACAGGUUUUGUGUGGUUUACUGGCCUGGAUGCAGGAAGCAUUAGCUCACAGCUAAACAUGUGUGUCUCUGGCUUCCCCGGGCACAGUGGCUCUGCAAACAAAUGCAGCAGCUGCCCUGAUACAGCAAGGGAUGGCUCCAAAGUGGCAGGCCAGAAUACUCUUCCACACACAAAAGCCGCAGUGGGGUGGAAUUUUCUGAUAAGUUACUUUAGCCCUCAGGCCUAAUUUAUUGCCUAAGGAAGAAAUUAAUUUGGUUUUGAGACCAAACUCUUCAUUCUGGCUAAAAAGAGCUCUAAAGCUGGGGGAAAGAAAGAACAGUUUUAUGUGCAAGCACUGCAUAAUGUAAAGACAGAUCUUGAAUCUCGUUUCUGCCUGCCUUACUUCAAGCAUUAGGAAUGACCAGACUUGCUCCUGCAGUGUGCUGUGAGCCCCUAAAAUGCAGAUUCAAAGUUUAGUCCACCAUGUGGUAAGCAAACCUUGCUCACUAAAAUAGCACCUGUGUGAGAAAUAGCCUGUGAAAACUUCCCAGAUAUUCUUUAUUUAUUUUUUUUUUCCACCUUGGAAAAAUGGAGAGAGAAAUUGGAAAUACUCUCCCUUGGUUAUCAAGAGCAGAACUGCAUGUUAUUAUAAUAGCUUGUGGUCACAGAGAAAUACAGUCACCUCUAGAAAUUCUAGCAGCUCUGAUCUCUUUUGCAGCACCUAUCAGGGCAGGAACCUUUCUGCAAGGAAACCUGGCUGACCAGUAAGCGUUUCCUGGGCAAGGUGCCACAUGAGGUGCUGCAGCUUGCUGGAAUUCCAUUUCUUCUCUGGGGCAUAUAUUUAUACUACUUUGGAAUAUAUCUGGUCUCUGAGCCUUACCCUAGAAGCAGCUCCAAGGCUAUGGGCCACCUGCCUUCACAGGAAGACCUCUCUGCCUCUUUCAUCCUGCCAUACUGCCCAGGGAGACAGCAGUCUUUUCUCACAUCCUGGGAACUACAUAAGCUGCACUACAAAACCAGACGGCUGUGAGAGAUGUUCACAGGCAUUUGUUGGGAGCCAUUACUUGUGUUUGCCUUGCUACAGGCUCAUGAGCUCACCUAUGCUUGCUUUUGGUCUAGGGCAAACCAUCCACAGCUAUUUCUCUUUCUGUCACAUUACUCCAGAGUGUCCUCAAAGUGAUGGGCUGUGGCUAGAUGCAGAGAACCCCCUGAGUAUCAAAAGCAUUGCUUGA
RNAcentral lists this long non-coding RNA (1327 nucleotides) under Cyanistes caeruleus (blue tit). RNAcentral's name for it is "lncRNA (ENSCCEG00000003080.1)". The record is from RNAcentral. Lineage: Eukaryota; Metazoa; Chordata; Aves; Passeriformes; Paridae.